This 498-nucleotide ribosomal RNA is filed under the name Hipparchia autonoe (Russian grayling). RNAcentral's name for it is "12S ribosomal RNA". The record is from RNAcentral. Lineage: Eukaryota; Metazoa; Arthropoda; Insecta; Lepidoptera; Nymphalidae.
AUUAAUAACUAAUUUUGUGCCAGCAGUUGCGGUUAUACAAAAAUUAAAUUAAAUUAUUUCAGUUUAUAAUAAAUAAAAUAAAAAUAAAAAUAAAUAUUAAAUUAUUAGGUGAAAUUUUAAUUUAAUUAAAUUUUAAGUUAAUUUUAUGAUUUAAUAAAUUUAAUAAUAAACUAGGAUUAGAUACCCUAUUAUUAAAAAUUUAAUUUAUAAUACUAAAAUAGUAAAUAAAAAAUAUUGAAACUUAAAUAAUAUGGCGGUAUUUUAGUUCAUUUAGAGGAAUCUGUCUAAUAAUUGAUAAUCCACGAAUAAAUUUACUUAAUUUAAAAUUUUAUAUAUCGUUGUUAAAAAAAUAUUUUAUAAUAAAAAUAAUAUUUAAAAAUUUAAAUAAGAAAUUAAUUCAGAUCAAGAUGUAGAAUAUAAUUAAGAAUAUGAUGGAUUACAAUAAAAUAAUUAUUGGAAUAAGUCGUAACAAAGUAGAGGUACUGGAAAGUGUUUCUA